Molecule: long non-coding RNA, 334 nt
Filed under: Capsicum annuum
Lineage: Eukaryota; Viridiplantae; Streptophyta; Magnoliopsida; Solanales; Solanaceae
Description: long non-coding RNA (CANN_LNC021245)
Source: RNAcentral
UCAAGUAUUUUGUCGAAGGACUAUCCACUUGGAGUAACCGGUAAAGUUGCUGGUCACGGGUUCAAGCCUUGGAAACAGCCCCUUACAGAAAUGUAAUGUGAGGCUGCAUGCGUACAAUAUAAUAAAUCCUUUUGAUCGGGCCCUUCCCUCGACCCUACACAUAGUGGGAGCUUAGUGCAUCGAGCUACCCUUUUACUAUCCGAUCUAGUUUUAACGACACUCCUUAUUGUUUCCGUUGUUUGCUAGAUGACUUUGGGUGGUACGAUCUGUUAAAAGUGGCAGUUCAACUUGCAAAUCUCUUACUAUCCUUGCAUGAAAAGGAUGUUAUAUUAGG